AUUGAACGCUGGCGGCAUGCUUUACACAUGCAAGUCGAACGGUAGAGGGGGCAACCCCUUGAGAGUGGCGAACGGGUGAGUAAUGCAUCGGAACGUGCCCAGUCGUGGGGGAUAACGCAGCGAAAACUGUGCUAAUACCGCAUACGAUCUCUGGAUGAAAGCGGGGGACCGAAAGGCCUCGCGCGAUUGGAGCGGCCGAUGUCAGAUUAGGUAGUUGGGGGGGUAAAGGCUCACCAAGCCAACGAUCUGUAGCUGGGCUGAGAGGACGACCAGCCAAACAGGGACUGGGACACGGCCAAGACUCCUAGGGGAGGCAGCAGUGGGGAAUUUUGGACAAUGGGCGCAAGCCUGAUCCAGCAAUGCCGCGUGCAGGAAGAAGGCCUUCGGGUUGUAAACUGCUUUUGUACGGAACGAAAAGGUCUGGGUUAAUACCCUGGGCACAUGACGGUACCGUAAGAAUAAGCACCGGCUAACUACGUGCCAGCCGCCGCAGUAA
This 496-nucleotide ribosomal RNA is filed under the name uncultured bacterium. RNAcentral's name for it is "partial 16S ribosomal RNA". It matches the Rfam family "Bacterial small subunit ribosomal RNA", at positions 29 to 523 of the family's 1533-position model. The record is from RNAcentral.